GACGAACGCUGGCGGCGUGCUUAACACAUGCAAGUCGAACGGAAAGGCCUCUUUCGGGGGGUACUCGAGUGGCGAACGGGUGAGUAACACGUGAGUAACCUGCCCUUGACUUUGGGAUAACUUCAGGAAACUGGGGCUAAUACCGGAUAGGAGCUCCUGCUGCAUGGUGGGGGUUGGAAAGUUUCGGCGGUUGGGGAUGGACUCGCGGCUUAUCAGCUUGUUGGUGGGGUAGUGGCUUACCAAGGCUUUGACGGGUAGCCGGCCUGAGAGGGUGACCGGCCACAUUGGGACCGAGAUACGGCCCAGACUCCUACGGGAGGCAGCAGUGGGGAAUAUUGCACAAUGGGUGGAAGCCUGAUGCAGCAACGCCGUGUGCGGGAUGACGGCCUUCGGGUUGUAAACCGCUUUCGCUCAUGACGAAGCUUUGUGUGACGGUAGUGGGUAAAGAAGCACCGGCUAACUACGUG
This 467-nucleotide ribosomal RNA is filed under the name uncultured bacterium. Its description in RNAcentral is "partial 16S ribosomal RNA". It matches the Rfam family "Bacterial small subunit ribosomal RNA", at positions 28 to 507 of the family's 1533-position model. The record is from RNAcentral.